CCCCUCUCAGAGUCACACCUGGAGAGUUUCCAGGACUCUACCGGUCUCGACUACGGGAGAGAGAGUCAAGCGGAUGCCUGCCUACCCAUUCCAUUCCUAGCUUGGCCAGUGGUUAGCGAAUGGAAGACCAUCUGCUACAAGU
Molecule: small nucleolar RNA, 142 nt
Organism: Ornithorhynchus anatinus (platypus)
Lineage: Eukaryota; Metazoa; Chordata; Mammalia; Monotremata; Ornithorhynchidae
Source: RefSeq, a predicted model, not a curated record